This 333-nucleotide ribosomal RNA is filed under the name Alderiopsis nigra. RNAcentral's name for it is "partial small subunit ribosomal RNA". It matches the Rfam family "Archaeal large subunit ribosomal RNA", at positions 1918 to 2539 of the family's 2987-position model. Lineage: Eukaryota; Metazoa; Mollusca; Gastropoda; Limapontiidae. The record is from RNAcentral.
AGCCUUAAGACUAAUUUAAGGUAAAACCUGCCCAGUGCAUAUAUUUUGUAAAUGGCCGCAGUACUCUGACUGUGCUAAGGUAGCAUAAUCAGUUGGCUCUUAAAUGGAGUCGGGAAUGAAUGGAUUUAUGGGGUUAAGCUGUCUCUUUAAUAUUUUAUUGAAUUUACUUAGUAGGUGAAAAUGCCUACUUUAUGAAAAAAGACGAGAAGACCCUAGGAGUUUUAACUAUACUACUUUUUUAGUACACCGUUUUUGUUGGGGCGACAAAAGAAGAACUUAUUAACUUCUUUUACACAUAUAGGCCGACUAAGUAUGAGAAUUUAAACUACCCUA